UCCAGACUCCUACGGGAGGCAGCAGUAGGGAAUCUUUCACAAUGGGCGAAAGCCUGAUGGAGCAACGCCGCGUGCAGGAUGAAGGCCUUCGGGUUGUAAACUGCUUUUAUAAGCGAGAAAUAUGAUGGUAACUUAUGAAUAAGGAUCGGCUAACUACGUGCCAGCAGCCGCGGUAAUACGUAGGGAGCAAGCGUUGUCCGGAAUUACUGGGCGUAAAGGGCGCGUAGGUGGGCGCUUAAGUCAGGUGUGAAAACUCCGGGCUCAACCUGGAGACUGCACUUGAAACUGGGUGUCUUGAGGGCAGGAGAGGAUAGUGGAAUUCCAGGUGUAGGAGUGAAAUCCGUAGAUAUCUGGAGGAACAUCAGUGGCGAAGGCGACUAUCUGGCACAUAACUGACGCUGAGGAGCGAAAGCGUGGGUAGCAAACAGGAUUAGAUACCCGUGUAA
RNAcentral lists this ribosomal RNA (446 nucleotides) under uncultured bacterium. RNAcentral describes it as "bacterial SSU rRNA". It matches the Rfam family "Bacterial small subunit ribosomal RNA", at positions 330 to 793 of the family's 1533-position model. The record is from RNAcentral.